RNAcentral lists this ribosomal RNA (933 nucleotides) under Sphacelotheca hydropiperis. RNAcentral describes it as "LSU rRNA". It matches the Rfam family "Eukaryotic large subunit ribosomal RNA", at positions 420 to 1666 of the family's 3401-position model. Lineage: Eukaryota; Fungi; Basidiomycota; Microbotryomycetes; Microbotryales; Microbotryaceae. The record is from RNAcentral.
CGCUUGAAGUCAGACUUGCAUUUGGAGUUCAGCCGCAAGGUGUAUUCUUCAAUUCGCAGGCCAGCAUCAGUUUUCGGGGGUGGAAAAUCGCGGUUUGAAGGUAGCAGUUUCGGCUGUGUUAUAGCUUUCCGCUGGAUUCACUUUUGGGGACUGAGGAACGCAGUACGCUUUUUGCAAGAUUCUAGAGUCUUUCGUACUUAGGAUGCUGGUGGAAUGGCUUUAAACGACCCGUCUUGAAACACGGACCAAGGAGUCUAACAUGCUUGCGAGUGUUUGGGUGUUAAACCCGGACGCGUAAUGAAAGUGAAUGUAGGUGGGAUCCGCAAGGUGCACCAUCGACCGAUCUGGAUUUUCUAAGAUGGAUUUGAGUAAGAGCAAUUAUGUUGGGACCCGAAAGAUGGUGAACUAUGCCUGAAUAGGGUGAAGCCAGAGGAAACUCUGGUGGAGGCUCGUAGCGGUUCUGACGUGCAAAUCGAUCGUCAAAUUUGGGUAUAGGGGCGAAAGACUAAUCGAACCAUUUAAAUUUUUGCUACUUGGUGGUUAAUAGGGACUUCAAAGUAGAGCCCUAGUGGGAGUGGUAACUUGCGACACUUUCAAAUUGCGGGGACGCCCUUAGAGCUCUAAUUACGGCGGCUCAUCGAAAGAUAGAGUGCAGCAGCAGGGUAAUGACCUCGCGGAUCGUAAAAACAUUAGAGAUUGGGUAAUCCGCAGCCAAGUCCUAAAUAGUACCUUUUCAGUUACUACAUGGAUGCAGUUCAUCGACUAAAUGGAAGUGGGUAUCGUUUCUUAACCGAAAGGGUGCUUGAGAUAUAGUCAGCCCCUCGUGAGAGCGAGCCAUUAGGACUAAGAUUCGUUUUCGUUUUUACCACUUUUAAACGACGUUUCCCGAGCCUAAUGGGGUCUAAUAAGGAGAAUCUAGCAAAUCUCCAAGAC